Molecule: ribosomal RNA, 468 nt
Filed under: uncultured bacterium
Lineage: Bacteria
Description: partial 16S ribosomal RNA
Rfam family: Bacterial small subunit ribosomal RNA
Source: RNAcentral
GACGAACGCUGGCGGCGUGCUUAACACAUGCAAGUCGAACGGAAAGGCCCUGCUUUUGUGGGGUGCUCGAGUGGCGAACGGGUGAGUAACACGUGAGUAACCUGCCCUUGACUUUGGGAUAACUUCAGGAAACUGGGGCUAAUACCGGAUAGGAGCUCCUGCUGCAUGGUGGGGGUUGGAAAGUUUCGGCGGUUGGGGAUGGACUCGCGGCUUAUCAGCUUGUUGGUGGGGUAGUGGCUUACCAAGGCUUUGACGGGUAGCCGGCCUGAGAGGGUGACCGGCCACAUUGGGACUGAGAUACGGCCCAGACUCCUACGGGAGGCAGCAGUGGGGAAUAUUGCACAAUGGGCGGAAGCCUGAUGCAGCAACGCCGCGUGCGGGAUGACGGCCGUCGGGUUGUAAACCGCUUUCGCCUGUGACGAAGCGUGAGUGACGGUAAUGGGUAAAGAAGCACCGGCUAACUACGUG